UCGGCGUCUAUACAUGCAGUCGAGCGGACUUUAAAGCUUGCUUUUAAAGUUAGCGGCGGACGGGUGAGUAACACGUGGGCAACCUGCCUGUAAGACUGGGAUAACUUCGGGAAACCGGAGCUAAUACCGGAUAAUCCUUUUCCUCUCAUGAGGAAAAGCUGAAAGACGGCAUCUCGCUGUCACUUACAAAUGGGCCCGCGGCGCAUUACCUAGUUGGUGAGGUAACGGCUCACCAAGGCAACGAUGCGUAGCCAACCUGAAAGGGUGAUCGGCCACACUGGGACUGAAACACGGCCCAAACUCCUACGGGAGGCAGCAGUAGGGAAUCUUCCGCAAUGGACAAAAGUCUGACGGACCAACGCCGCGUGAGUGAUGAAGGUUUUCGGAUCGUAAAGCUCUGUUGUUAGGGAAAAACAAGUACAAAAGUAACUGCUUGUACCUUGACGGUACCUAACCAGAAAGCCACGGCUAACUACGUGCCAGCCCGGGGGGUAAAUAACAAAGGGGGGGGGGGAUAAAAAAAAAGGGGGGGUCAUAAAAUUCAGAACACCCCCGCCCCCCAAAACACAAACAAGAAAAAA
RNAcentral lists this ribosomal RNA (581 nucleotides) under Niallia circulans. RNAcentral's name for it is "Bacillus circulans partial 16S ribosomal RNA". The stretch from base 1 to 512 matches the Rfam family "Bacterial small subunit ribosomal RNA", at positions 39 to 538 of the family's 1533-position model. Lineage: Bacteria; Bacillati; Bacillota; Bacilli; Caryophanales; Bacillaceae. The record is from RNAcentral.